UUCGAAAAACUUUAACCCAAGCCC
This 24-nucleotide non-coding RNA is filed under the name Drosophila melanogaster (fruit fly). The record is from RNAcentral. Lineage: Eukaryota; Metazoa; Arthropoda; Insecta; Diptera; Drosophilidae.